GAUGAAGAACGCAGCGAAAUGCGAUAAGUAAUGUGAAUUGCAGAAUUCAGUGAAUCAUCGAAUCUUUGAACGCACAUUGCGCCCGCCAGUAUUCUGGCGGGCAUGCCUGUCUGAGCGUCAUUUCAACCCUCACGCCCCUAGGGCGUGGUGUUGGGGAUCGGCCAAAGCCCGCGAGGGACGGCCGGCCCCUAAAUCUAGUGGCGGACCCGUCGUGGCCUCCUCUGCGAAGUAGUGAUAUUCCGCAUCGGAGAGCGAUGAGCCCCUGCCGUUAAACCCCCAACUUUCCAAGGUUGACCUCAGAUCAGGUAGGAAUACCCGCUGAACUUAAGCAUAUCAAUAAGCGAGGA
RNAcentral lists this unclassified non-coding RNA (347 nucleotides) under soil metagenome. RNAcentral describes it as "partial contains 5.8S ribosomal RNA, internal transcribed spacer 2, and large subunit ribosomal RNA". The stretch from base 1 to 120 matches the Rfam family "5.8S ribosomal RNA", at positions 35 to 154 of the family's 154-position model. The record is from RNAcentral.